This 253-nucleotide unclassified non-coding RNA is filed under the name uncultured Hyphomonadaceae bacterium. RNAcentral describes it as "contains 16S-23S intergenic spacer region". It matches the Rfam family "Bacterial small subunit ribosomal RNA", at positions 524 to 776 of the family's 1533-position model. Lineage: Bacteria; Pseudomonadati; Pseudomonadota; Alphaproteobacteria; Hyphomonadales; Hyphomonadaceae. The record is from RNAcentral.
UACGUAGGUGGCAAGCGUUGUCCGGAAUUACUGGGCGUAAAGCGCACGUAGGCAGACCAGCCAGUCAGAGGUGAAAGGCCAGGGCUCAACCUUGGAACUGCCUUUGAUACUGUUGGUCUGGAGUUCGGGAGAGGUGUGUGGAGUUCCGAGUGUAGAGGUGAAAUUCGUAGAUAUUCGGAGGAACACCAGAGGCGAAGGCGACACACUGGACCGAUACUGACGCUGAGGUGCGAAAGCGUGGGGAGCAAACAGG